ACCGUCGCGUCGAUCCCUGUGUUGUACUUAGUAAGUGCACACUGAAGUCCAGCUGCGUCGCAAAAUUAUAGGUGGAGAAGAUUGUCGGAGUAAUUUAAAGUUAAUUUUGCAAACCUAAUUAUCGCAUAGUUUUUCUUGUGCAAUUUCUGCCUGCCCUACUAGUUGUACUACCGUAACAAUGUGAGUCUGUUCUUUUUCUCUUUUCGUCUUCCUUUGAUUUUUCCCUUUCUUCUUUACUCAUUUUUCUUGUUAGUGUCGUCUCUAGGAAUCCCUGUUAAUGAAUGAUUUAGGUGAGUUCGACUCUUUAAUUGAUUGUAGCUAGCGUUGUAGAAGGUACUGCUUCCGUCGUCAUUCGCUGUACGAGUCUGUCUUUGACCUACGUGAAAUGGCACCGUGAAGCCAGCGGCUGCCCGGUCAGUUCUGUGUUGCUCAGGCCUGUUAUUCAGGUGAGUUUGGGUCGCCGGGAGUCGGACACUUCUCCUACCUUGACAUGGAUUCUAGGAUGCUCUUGCAAGUGAAUUUGGAAAAAUGGGAUCCUGGCUCGGGAUCAAACCUACCCCCACUGACUCUUGUCGCGCCAUGCUUACUUCUGUCGAUGGUACACGAGCUUGCGUGUAGGACAGAUGAUUUUUCGAUGUCAUCUUCAUGCUGAUGCAUGUAAAAUUGAGAAUCCAGCCAUCAAAGCUACUCUGACUGAAGAUUGAUGUGUCCGCAAAGUGCUGUGCUCUCCGACAACACGAAGUCGUCCUCAAGCUACGACAAGUGAUUGUUUCCCUCUAGAAAUCGAAUUGUUACUAAUUCGUUUCGACUGCCGCAUUGGCUCUUAUGAUGAGUCCUUCGUCGCGAAAAACUGCAAAUGGUGACAUGAUUGUAGAGUACUUGCUUGUCACGGGGCUAUAUCUACCUAUCCUGUCUUCCAGGGGGGCCUAUAUUAGAGGUCGUGCCAUCGAAAGUGUCUGAACUUUUCUUCAAUGAGUAAUUCAAUACCUUGAAGGUUUUUCUCUUUUUCUGAUUAAGGGACUAGAAUUUUCGAGCAUGGUUUAGUGUUCAGACUUCAGUUAAGCACACGAAAGAUUUGUUGAUAUGGACACUAACACGGUUAUGUAAAUUGUUCGAUAUCUUGACGAUAGAUUGUUGUGUGCGGAGGAGAAAAUAAGGAGAAACUCGUGGGGGUGAAAAGAUUGGUUUUCUUCAACAUACAUCC
RNAcentral lists this long non-coding RNA (1204 nucleotides) under Eucalyptus grandis. RNAcentral describes it as "long non-coding RNA (EGRA_LNC000546)". The record is from RNAcentral. Lineage: Eukaryota; Viridiplantae; Streptophyta; Magnoliopsida; Myrtales; Myrtaceae.